GGGAGAUCAAAACCACAAAUCCUGCACAAGCAUAAAGCAUAAUUGAAGUUGAAUUUUCUUUGUUUUAAAUGUUAUAAUUUCAUCAGUGUUACAGAGAUCAAGUUAAUUUCUGUUUUAUUUUUUUUUACGAAGAUCAUAAUCAGAAUCCAAAUCUUGAGAGAAUUGUAAAACUAUAAGAUAUCUAAGUCAAAAAUACUAUAGUGAUGCAUUUUAAAGAUCACCUGGGUUAGAAAACUGAGCAAGUCUCAGCACUUAAGUAUAACAAAAAUUAUCAAAAGAAAGACAAAUGAUAAAAUAUCAAGUUCCAGUUCCAGAGUUUCAAAAACAUCACUUUGAAACCAUCAUCAGUCCCCAAGCAAACAUCGGUUAUCCUCCAAAUGCAUAAGCAUAAGGCAUCUAGAUGAAUAAUCUUUAAUUUUCAAGAAUUUUACAACAUGAUCAGUGUUCUAGUAACUUAAUUUGAUUUGGACAGAAAUCAAUGUAACAGUUCCCCAUUCUGAGAUGUGUUCCUCAACAUUGGCAAAUGCGUAACCAAUAUUCAACUAAAAUUUCAAAAUUCUGUCACCCAUUGAGCAUAUUGGAAGCCUCACUUAUCCUAGCAUUCAAAUGGUAAUUAUUCUAUUUUUCUCUCUACCACAAGCAUAGUGGCAAACAACUAUCCCACGUGCCUAUAUGAGAGGAGAAAAAAUUUGAACUGAAAAAUUUAAGUUAAUUUGGCAAAAUUCAGGAUCAAAGUACACAUGUUUGCAUCCCAUUCACCC
This 761-nucleotide unclassified non-coding RNA is filed under the name Hevea brasiliensis (rubber tree). The record is from RNAcentral. Lineage: Eukaryota; Viridiplantae; Streptophyta; Magnoliopsida; Malpighiales; Euphorbiaceae.